UCCGACGGGGCUGGAGGACGAAUAUGGACCCUCUAAUUUCAGAUCUGAGGGCUGAAAUUGGAGAGGGAGUGGGGAUCUUGGGAUUGGAGGGAUGUGGGGCUAGAAGUAAGGGUGUUUUAGGGGACGGCUGCAAAUUUGGCUAGGGGAAUCCUAGUUGAGUGAGAAUCUCUCUUCACAAGGUGGAUUUAUAUAGGGAAUGGUUUAUGUUGGAAUGGACCUCGUCCGUCCGAUCGCGAUCCGACGACCAUGAAUGGAGGAACGGGCUAGGUGGGUCUAGUGGGUUGUGUAGAUGGGCUAGGUGGGGAUGAGAGAGAAGGUUGUGGCCCAUGAAAGAGUUUUUAUAAACCGAAAACGUCCAACAAUUUGACGACUAUAGUGUCGCUAUACAUUUAA
RNAcentral lists this long non-coding RNA (393 nucleotides) under Hordeum vulgare. RNAcentral's name for it is "long non-coding RNA (HVUL_LNC010456)". The record is from RNAcentral. Lineage: Eukaryota; Viridiplantae; Streptophyta; Magnoliopsida; Poales; Poaceae.